AGACAAAAUGCCAGCUGGAAAGAUAAGAUAAAAGAGCAAUAAUGGAGCAGAUACAGAGCAAUAAUGGAACAGAUACGACAAAAUCAACGGAGACAAGAUACUGUACAAAGGCAGAAUUAUUGUAUAUUAAUGUAACAAAAGUCUUGAUUGAAAUAGUUGUACAUUAAUUAGAUUGUUGAAAAACUUUACGUAAAGUUAGAAAAGUUAGAAAAGUUAGAUAGGCAUAGGCCCCCCUAAAAGUUAGAAAAGUUAGAAAACUAGAAACAUGUGUAAAUUGUAAACUUACUUUUCGUUCUAUAUAUAACAGAGGCAGAAGGCAUUGCAAAAAGCAAGCCUUCAUGCGUUGAAGCACCUUUGCUCUCUCCAAUCCACAAAAAAUAUUUUACUCAGUUAAUUAGAUAAACAUAUUUCAAUGGAAAAAGCUAUGGAGCAACAAAACUCAGAAAUAACAAAGCUACCUGAACAGGUAUAUCUAUUUAUGAUUAUGAAUAGCUAAUUUCAUAAUUCCCAACAAUCAUGGUAUGAUAAAAUAAAUUCAUAUUAGUUACUUUAUAGUAGAAUUAUUCGAAGAAUAAUAUGUUAAGAAGUUUAUUAACAAAGAGGAAAUGGAGAAAUAUCCCU
RNAcentral lists this long non-coding RNA (621 nucleotides) under Capsicum annuum. Its description in RNAcentral is "long non-coding RNA (CANN_LNC020561)". The record is from RNAcentral. Lineage: Eukaryota; Viridiplantae; Streptophyta; Magnoliopsida; Solanales; Solanaceae.